Long non-coding RNA from Raphanus sativus (radish), 877 nucleotides. RefSeq lists it as uncharacterized. NCBI's taxonomy places the organism in Eukaryota, Viridiplantae, Streptophyta, Magnoliopsida, Brassicales, Brassicaceae. The record is from RefSeq and is a predicted model, not a curated record. The transcript is spliced from 3 exons.
GAUUUCUUAGACCCGGAUGUCGAUUUUCCAGAUUAGGGUCGUCUUCUUCGAGAUCCUUCGUACGGAGCGCUUCCUCUUCCACCGUUUUGUUUUUCGAUCAUUAUGAACCUAAGCACAAUCACUGUCGACGUCGCGAAUCAACUUCCUGUAACCUUACCUCCAGCUUCCUAUAUAUUGAGAUCGUACAUGGCAGGAUCACCUAAUAGUGGAUCAUGGAAAGGAGCAAUCUCAGCAGCUUCGCUAGCACCAGGACCUUCAGCUGAUUUCUCUGAUUACCCCUUCUAAUAGCACCGCAGGGCGAUAAUAAAACCCUAGGCAUCAUCAACCUGUCCGAACUUCAAAAACACAUGAUUUUGAUUCAAAUCUUCUACUCCUAAUUUGUGUGUCAUUCUCCUAUCAUCUAUCCACGCCGCGUUCUCUCUCUUUCACUCUUCUUCGAUUUCCCCUCUUAACACACACGCUCUGUGCUUAGCUUCCUCAGGUAAUUUUUAUAGGAUUUGAUUAGGGAUUCUCAUGGUUUAAGCUGGUUAGAAAUCAUCAUUGCCAUCACAGGAUCAUCUAGGAAGAUAGCCUGAUGGGUCAACAGGAAAAGUCUAGGAACAAUCACAGCUCUAAAAAGAAAGGAAUGGGUAGGAAGGGCCAGAAAGGUGGUCGUGAUUUUGAUGGAGAUAGUAACAAGAGGAACCAAUCCGGUGGUGAAGCCAAUGCAAAGGCAGAACAAACCGAAUUUGAGCAUCAGAAUCAGUUUGUCAGGUAAUUGGAGACUUUGAAUCGGAGGACUAAUUAGAUUUGUGUAAUUUUUUGUUAUUUGUACAAAAAGUUUCUGGAUUAUGAUAAAUUUUUGCAGGAAAUAUAUUGAUCCAGAAACUUCAAAGUA